RNAcentral lists this microRNA precursor (98 nucleotides) under Callithrix jacchus (white-tufted-ear marmoset). Its description in RNAcentral is "mir-544 microRNA precursor family". It matches the Rfam family "mir-544 microRNA precursor family". The record is from Rfam by way of RNAcentral. Lineage: Eukaryota; Metazoa; Chordata; Mammalia; Primates; Cebidae.
AUUACCUGGGGAAUUUGUUAAACUGCAGAUUCUGAUUCGGGAGGUCUGGGGUGGGGACAGAAACUUUGCAUUUCUAACAAGCUCCCAGGUGAUGCUGA